RNAcentral lists this ribosomal RNA (452 nucleotides) under uncultured bacterium. Its description in RNAcentral is "bacterial SSU rRNA". It matches the Rfam family "Bacterial small subunit ribosomal RNA", at positions 340 to 784 of the family's 1533-position model. The record is from RNAcentral.
UACGGGAGGCAGCAGUGGGGAAUAUUGCACAAUGGGCGCAAGCCUGAUGCAGCCAUGCCGCGUGUAUGAAGAAGGCCUUCGGGUUGUAAAGUACUUUCAGCGGGGAGGAAGGCGAUGCGGUUAAUAACCGCGUCGAUUGACGUUACCCGCAGAAGAAGCACCGGCUAACUCCGUGCCAGCAGCCGCGGUAAUACGGAGGGUGCAAGCGUUAAUCGGAAUUACUGGGCGUAAAGCGCACGCAGGCGGUCUGUUAAGUCAGAUGUGAAAUCCCCGGGCUUAACCUGGGAACUGCAUUUUGAACUGGCAGGCUUGAGUCUUGUAGAGGGGGUAGAAUUCCAGGUGUAGCGGUGAAAUGCGUAGAGAUCUGGAGGAAUACCGGUGGCGAAGGCGGCCCCUGGGACAAGACUGACGCUCAGGUGCGAAAGCGUGGGGAGCAAACAGGGAUUAGGAUA